Molecule: ribosomal RNA, 224 nt
Filed under: uncultured bacterium
Lineage: Bacteria
Description: partial 16S ribosomal RNA
Rfam family: Bacterial small subunit ribosomal RNA
Source: RNAcentral
GACGAAGGGGCUAGCGUUGUUCGGAAUUACCGGGCGAAAGCGAGUGUAGGUGGUUGUCCAAGUUGGAUGUGAAAGCCUUGAGCUCAACUCAAGAAAUGACAUUCAGGACUGGGCGGCUAGAGGACCGGAGAGGAUAGUGGAAUUCCCAGUGUAGUGGUGAAAUACGUAGAGAUUGGGAAGAACACCAGUGGCGAAGGCGGCUAUCUGGACGGUUUCUGACACUA